Macaca fascicularis (crab-eating macaque) is the source of this 1868-nucleotide long non-coding RNA. NCBI's taxonomy places the organism in Eukaryota, Metazoa, Chordata, Mammalia, Primates, Cercopithecidae. The record is from Ensembl.
AGAGAAGUCAAACUUCUAAGUAGGAAGAAAGUUAACAAAAGAUGUGCAAGACCUCUACUCUGAAAACUACAAAACAGUGCUGGGAAGAAUUAUAGAGCACCAAAAUAAAUAGAUAUUCUAUGCUCAUGGAUUGAAGUACUGCAUAAUGGUAAGAUGACAGUUCCCCACAAAUUGAUAUCUAGAUUCAAUGAAAUCAAAAUCCCACAAGGCUAUCUUGUAGAAAUUGGCAACUACAUAUAUGAAAAUGCAACAGACUCUUAAGUAGCCAAGAUAAUUUUGAAGAAGAAAAAUAAAAUUGGAGCACUUGUACUACCCAAUGUCAAGACUUGCUCUAAGGCUACAACAGUUAAGAGAGUAUGGUACUAGAGUUAGGAUAAACAACAAAUAGAUCAAUAGACAUGUCCAGAAAUAGACUCACAUAUAUAUUGUUAUAGGCUUUUCAGCAAAAACAAGCUAUUCAAUAGAAAAAGGAAAGAUUUUUCAGUUGGAGUUGAAGUAACUGGAUGUCUGGUAAAAAGCAAUGUUGAUGCCUUCUUCAUACUGUGUACAAUUUAUUCGAAAUGUAAAUGUGAAUGGCAAAACAAUACAUCUUGUAAAAGGAAACACAGACUAUCUUCAUGACAUUGGGGUAGACAAGGAUAUCUUAGGCGAAGAUAUCUCAGGAAGGUUAAACAACAAAACUGACAAAUUUCAUCAAAAUUAGAUACUUCUCAUCAAAAAGAUACUUUUAAAGUGAAAAGGCAAGCCACAGCCUAAGAGAAAAUAUUCACAAUACACAGAACUAACAAAGGAAAGCAAAGAACAUUUUAAACCAUUGUAACAUCUACCCAGUUUAACAAUGAGUGAAUUGAAUACAUACUUCACAGAAGCUCUCCAGAUACAGGGGUAGCAUAGGAAGUGGCACUCAAACAUCAGCCAUCAGGGAAUGUAGAAUGAAACCACAAUGAAAUACCACUGCAUACCCGCCAAAUGGUGAGAAUGUGGAACAACUGAUAGAAGUCCAAGAUGGUUUAAUCACCUCAGGAAACAGUUUGCCGGUUGCUUAUAAAGGUAAACAUAAUGCCUACCCUGUGACUUAGUGAUUCCACUUUUAAAGAUCUACCCAAGAUAAAUGAGGGUAUGUUUUUACAAUAAGACUUGUACAAGAAUAGCAGUUUUAUUUCUAAUAUCUCCAAUCUGACACUACCCAAAUAACUGUCAACAAGCUAAUAAUCAAGUAAUGGUAUAUUUAUACAUUGGAUACUAGUCUGCCAUUAAAAGAAUGGGCUGGGCUUAAUGGCUAACACCUGUGAUCCUAACAAUUUGGGAGGCCAAGGCAGGAUCACUUGAGCCCAGGAGUUCAAGACCAUCCUGGGCAAGAUGGCAAGACACCAUCUCUACAGAAAAAUUUAAAAAUCAGCUGGGCAUGGUGGUACACGCCUAUAGUCCCACCUACUCAGCAGGCUGAAGUAGGAGGAUCCUUUGAGCCCAGGCGUUCAAGCCUGCAGUGAGUUGUGAUCAUGCCACUGCACUCUAGCCUGAGUGACAGACUGAGACCUUGUCUCUAAAAAUAAUAAAAAUGAUACACUGGCAAAACAAUGUAGGUAAAUCUUUAAAUCAUUGUUGAACAAAAGAAGCUAGACAUAUUCCAUUUAUAUGAAGCUCAAAAACAAAUAUGGAAUGGUUAUCUUUGGGGGUGAGUAUAGACUGAAGAAGAGCAUAGGAGAACUUUCUGGAAUGAUGGAAUGUUCUAUAUCUCGAUUGCAGUAGUAGUAACAUAUACAUAUAUAUGUAUGUGUGUAUAUAUUUUAAAAUAUAGUGAGCUGUAUACUUGGGAUAUAUGCAUUUUGCUGUAUGUAAAGUAUGCCUCAAUAAAGUGCUGGGGAAAG